CGAGGCUGUAGCUGGCCUUCUCGGAGGCAUCGUGCACGCCCUGCCCGUCCCAUAUCAUACCUGUGAACUUUUUGGUAGGCGGGUUUGUGUCGGCCUCGAAAGGGGUCGACCGGCCCUCCGGCCGUCUUUAUAUACACACCAUACGAGUCUUUAGAAUGUUUGUGCGUCUCGACGCACCUUAUAUAUAACUUUCAGCGACGGAUCUCUUGGCUCUCGCAUCGAUGAAGAACGCAGCGAAACGCGAUAAGUAAUGUGAAUUGCAGAAUUCAGUGAAUCAUCGAAUCUUUGAAUGCACCUUGCGCUCCUCGGUAUUCCGAGGAGCAUGCCUGUUUGAGUGUCAUGAAAUUAUCAACCCCUCCUCCUUCAUCGGCGGUGGGGCUUGGACUUGGAGGCUUUGCGGGCUUUUAACGAGUCGGCUCCUCUCAAAUGCAUUAGCUCGAACCCCUGCGGAUCGGCCGUCGGUGUGAUAUAAUGUCUACGUCGUGGUCGUGAGCGUCGGAUCGGCUUCUAAUGGUCCCCUUUCGGAGGCGGAAUUUGAACUUGUGACCUCAAAUCAGGUAGGACUACCCGCUGAACUUAAGCAUAUCAAUAAG
Molecule: ribosomal RNA, 593 nt
Filed under: Sparassis latifolia
Lineage: Eukaryota; Fungi; Basidiomycota; Agaricomycetes; Polyporales; Sparassidaceae
Description: eukaryotic LSU rRNA
Rfam family: 5.8S ribosomal RNA (bases 187-340)
Source: RNAcentral